UGGAGGCCUGCCGGACGGUCGGCAGGCGGCAGAAAGAGGUUUGCCUCUCUCUCCUCUCUUUGUCCCUUCCUCUCUAUCUCUCUCUCAUCUCUCCUGUCCCAGGUCGCUCCAUCCAUCUCGUCUUCUCACUUCCAUUCCGGCCAAGAUCCGGAUCUCCCGCUCUCUCUCCUCCUGGUCUUCAACAGCACAUGGCAGAUGGGGAGGACGGCCGGGAGAUGGUGACCUGCUUGGAGCUUGUGGCGCCCUUGUGCUACAGCCUACAGGCCUAGGUAUGUGCUCUCUCCCCCCUCUCCUCUGAAAUAACCGAACCCUUUUUUUGAAGCCUACAGUGAAAAUUUGACGGUGGCGACGAGGUCAAGUGGCUGUCCAAGUCGACGAAGAGCGAACCAUGAAGGUUCUGCGGCUGUUCAGACCUGGAGUGAUUUGAUUUGCAGUGUGGGGAAAGGCAGUGCUAUGCACAUGGGGUCCGUCUCCCUCUCUUUUGUUGUGCACCGUUAUGGAGUGCUCAAUUCUCUGUCAAAGAUCUCUUGCAUCUGAGAAGGAGCUGGACGGGCCCUGAAGUUUCCAUGGCUAGAAACAUGGUCAAGAGCCCCAGGUGGAAAACUAGAAGCUGGGUACGAGUCCUACUGGUUGAGGAGCAUGGAUAUGAAGAGAAUGGGUGCACAUGGCGGCUGGCUUGUGGUAUUUUUAUGAGAUGUAGGUUGGUCUAAAGGUGAAGAGCUUCAAGGGCUUGUCGGUUCGCAAGGCACUGGUUCAGUGGUUCUUGAGGCGAGCUUAUUUGGAGCUUCCAGAUUGUCCUGGGCUUCAUCAAAAGGAUGCCCGCACCGGCCUUUGUCAUGGAUUUGAGCAAAGGGAAUAGUCUCAGGAAGGUUAUUUGGAGGAAGAAGGCGACCAAUACUCACCAAAACUGUUGUGUUGGAGGAGGGCAAAUUUGCCAUCUAUAAUUUUGUAUUUAGUUCAGUUUGGUACUAAACAAUGGUAUUGCUCUUCUUGUUUAAAUCAAUCGAGAAUAAAUACUGCAGAGUGUUUGCUAUAAGUUAGUUAGGUUAUAUUUUUAUUUCUGAUAAUUGCUCAAUGCUGUUUGAUAUUUCUUUGUACUUCGUAUUUAGUUGUGCCAGAAGUAUUGUCGAUGCUUUAGGUUUUCCAUUGUCGGGUUCAAGCACUCAAAUAAUUUUUUGUUGCAGAGUUUUGAUUUAUGAGAUGAGAUACAACAUUCAACCUCAUUAAAAAUACAUACAUUUACAGAAUGGUGCUUCAUUACCCUCCUCACCUCACCCACAAUAAAGCGGAUGGGGAACACGCAUCGAGCUGGUAUUCUUGCACGUGCUCAUGUCUUGUUCACCUUCCCCAGUUUAUUAUCCUCAAGUAUUAGUAAUUAGGAAUUUAUGGGAACAGUGGUUUUCUGAUGGUAUCGUGCAAUGAUGGUCUGAACCCAAUGCAAGCUGCUGUCUGUGCAAUAAGAGAAGAAAGUUUUAUCAAGAAGGCCAACAUGUGUGCAGCUUUUCUUCAUUCUAAGAUCUGAACUCCUCUUGUUUCAUAAAGCACUAGGAGCAAAAAUACUUGCAUUUGUGGAAUAUCCAUAUAUAUUUGAUACCUCCGUUUCCUUCAAAUAAAUCUCAGUUCAGGAAAAUAAAUUACUUGACAGUGUGCAGUAGAUUAGUUCACAAAAAUAAAUUACCGUAUUUGUUUGUAGUUGUAUCCCUGACUAAUAAAGAGUUUGUUCGCUCCUGCAGUAUCAAUUAUUACGAUAAAAUGGGUCUUCUUAUGAUGUUCUUAUUAGUAUCGUUACUCCAUCUGGAGAAUGACGUUUACUCUUUCAGCUAACAACAUAUUUGAAACAAAAAGUUCCGUGUCAUUUUCAUUUGUAAAAUUAAAUUUGUAGUGUGAAUCUGUUAUGCUUAAUCAUGGUGGGGGUCCUUUUGAAGUUGUUCCUGUCUCCAAGCAUGAUUCUGCUAGCUACAGAGGUUCAAAUCCAUAAGUACAGCUUAACAAUUUGGAUUUCAAUCAUGCUUUCUAUCCAUUAUGGUUCGGUUUUAAAUGCUUUGAGAGCUCUUUAUUAAGAUUUUGUAUGAUUAAGAACCUAAAAAAUACCUUGAAUGCCCUCAAUAUUUAGAGUUAGUUAUAGUGAUUUUGUACAGAGCUUUUGCCUGCAAAGGUUGUCCGUGUUACUCUACGGGUCAUCUGGCAGCAUGUAAGGAUGAUAGGAAACUGUUGAAAAGCUAGGCUAAUAGGAAAUUGUCAGAUGUAAGUCCUCAUGUCUUCAGCUCGCAAAUGGCAUGCAUGCCAAAUAUUAAAAUGACGUUGUUAAAGAAGAUAUAUGUAGGUAACUAGGGAACAUCAAAAUUGGGGUUUACAUUGACAUGUGCCAUGGUGCCUAGCUGAUGUGAUAAUUUCUAUCUGAAACUGAAAUUUCUGAACUUUUACCCCUCUUUCGGGUAACUGGAGUGAUGAUGGUUCAGUGAAGCUAUGGAGUAUGAAUCAGGCAAUUCUACUCUUACACCUGAUCAAAAAAAAUUAUGAACUCUGCAGGUUGGGAGUGUUGGCACUGUCAGAACAGGGGCAAAUAUCUGCUAUGUACAUCAUGUUUUCGCUCGCUCCAUUGCAAAUGACUCCUCUUCUCACGGUAUUGUUUUAGAAAUGGUUCCUGUUGGACAAAUAAACAAGUGCUCUCUCACCUUCUGCUUAAGAAUACACGGAGGGUACCCCUCUCCCUUGUCACACCUGUCAUUUUCAUUUACAGUUCUACAGCCUAUAUAUACUGCAUUUAGCAGAUUGAGCAACUCUAAAUCUUUCUUAGUUUUUUCACUUCCAUUUUUUGUUUUUUUCAAGGCGGAAAGAGAACUUGUUGGCAAGCUGUUGAUGAAGGGCGAUCACCGUUUGGGACACUCCAGUGUCAUGGACAUUGUAAAUGCAGCAUGGCAUGAUACCGGCUGUAGUACAUGCACAUUAACUUCCAUUUCAUCCAUUUACUUUUACUACCCAUUAAUCGUUUGUUUUUCUAUGAUUGUUAUUUAUUGACAGUUUAUGCAUCUUGCUGAUUGUACAGGAACUUAUAAUGCAGUCUUCUCAGUUUUGCUAUGAAAGGAAUUGCCAGUAUCAUGUCUUUUUUUUAUGUUACCAUGUUACCGGUCAUAUACUUAGGAUUACUUUUCUUCAUUCGUGCAAAUCAGACAUCAAACAUACUAUGGUGUUAAGGGGUUGCUUAGGUGGUAAAGCGCCCUUUCAGCACCUUGGAAUUGCCCCCCUUAGGUGCUUAAACGUCAUACCGGCGGUAGAGCAUCUUAGGACGUAUUAGUGCCUUUAAAACCUUGAAAUAUAAAUGUUAAUACCACUACCAAUCAUUUACUAAUUCUAUUUUGAUCAUAUUAUGUGCUAGAGGGAGGCAGAGCAGUGAACCGAAUGGGGACAGAUACAUGGAAUCUGAUUUGAAAAGCUAAGGUGCCACCAUAACUGAGUUUUCAGAUGGAAGCUUGCAGGAAAUACUCGGUGUGCAGGCCCUUCGUCUUUGUAACAGCGCAACCCUCAUGGCAGAGGGUUUGCUGCAGCGCUGCUGGGUAUCGAGGUAGUCUGCGUGAGGCCGGUUUGGGCAUUAUCCACUGCCUCAUUCAUUCUCCAGACCAAGCCCACCGCCAUGAAGGUUUGCUCAGUCAGAAAUGUAUUAAGGACCUGUGUAACUACUUGUAUUGUUAACUGAGAUAUUGAUAGUAAUUUAUUUGUUUUACUAUUUUGCUUUGUUUUCAUAGGAUAAUUCAUUGAUGGGUUAUUUUUUGGCAAUAGGUGAUUCCCCUCGCUAUAUACUGAACAAGAUUGGUUUUUUAUGUAUCCAAGCUAUACUGAAUAUUUUUUAGGGCAAAGUUUGGGCAAUUUUUUGUUGGUCUUCACGUGUUGUGCUAAUCAUAUAAGAUCACGAGCAUAUGUUUCUACAAGGUUUGUAAUGCAUCAGUUGAUGGUGAUAUUGUAUUUGCACAACUCAUAACCAUCUGUCCGCUAUCAAAGCAUUGUUUUUUCAGCUCAGAUCUUAGAAAAUUAGAAUGUUGUAUGGAUUUACUAAUUGUGGAGAUAAUCUUAUAGCAGGAAUAUGUGUAUUUUACUUUGUAGACAAAGUAGGCAUGUUAGUUCAUGCAGUUUAUGACAAGAGUUUUGAAAAACCAGGGGUGGGCAAGCGGUGUUUUCUGCAUGUAUGCAACAAAAUAUUAACAAAUGGAUUGCUUAUUGUCGAUUUGGGAAACCAUGAGUUCUGAUGCUUUUCUUGCUUAUGUCAUCACCAUCCCUUAUAAUAAGUUGUGAUACCUUUUCUUGCUGAUGCUUCUUCCGUGGAUUAUGCUCUUUGUAGCAAAUGCGAAGCUGGACUUUGUUGUUUCUGAGGACCUACUACUACUGUAUUUCUUCCUAUCUCAAAAUCUAUCCAGUUCAGAUACACCUUAAAUACCAUGACAAUUAUUUGCAAUCUUUUUUUAAUCCUAACUACAAAUAGGAAAGAGUAUAUAUCUUGGACUGGUCAUUUCUAUAAGUUGCAACCUUUCUGAGCACAUCUAAUUAUGGAUUGUUGAAGCAGCUAGGCAGCUCUGAGGUAGUAGUGGAUGCUGAUUUUGAAAUUACCUUCAAACUGAAGUGGCGGUCAUGUUCUUGUAGUGUCUUCAUGGCACUCGAUCGGGGCACUGCAAAGAGAACGGAAACCCAUCUCCACGGGAUGAAGACUGGUGAGCUGGGAAAUGCUCCAUGUUCAAAUUGAAAAUUUUGAUUCCCGGUUCCUGAUAUACCCACUUAGGAGGUGAGCUUGGAGUGGUGCCAAGUCUUUCAGCUGUUGAUUAUUUUCAAGGUGUUCAUUUUGCCCCACAGUUGGCUGCAUAGUUUAUAUGCAAAUACUAUGGGAGCCAGCAGCUUGAGAGCGUUGCUGACUCUGUAUCAGUUGGUUUUGUAAAAAUAUCUCUAAAAAAGAGGGAACUUGACUAUAUCAGUAUGUAAUUUGUUUCAUUUUUGAAGUUGUAUUUCAGUGGUUUCAUAUCUAACUUGCGGUAAUGUGUUAGUGCAGAUGGUCACCGUGCAUCUGGAUGCUAAGAAGGUGUUCGCUUUGUGAUUUUGUAACUUUAUUGCGGCUUUUGUUUGGUUCAAUUGCCCAUAAUUAGGUUCUGUGACUUUACACACGGCUUGAAUAUUGCUUUU
Molecule: long non-coding RNA, 5163 nt
Organism: Lolium rigidum
Lineage: Eukaryota; Viridiplantae; Streptophyta; Magnoliopsida; Poales; Poaceae
Exons: 10
Source: RefSeq, a predicted model, not a curated record